AGGCAGCAGUAGGGAAUAUUGCACAAUGGGCGCAAGCCUGAUGCAGCGACGCCGCGUGAGGGAUGACGGCCUUCGGGUUGUAAACCUCUUCCAGCAGGGAAGAAGCGCAAGUGACGGUACCUGCAGAAGAAGCGCCGGCUAACUACGUGCCAGCAGCCGCGGUAAUACGUAGGGCGCAAGCGUUGUCCGGAAUUAUUGGGCGUAAAGAGCUCGUAGGCGGUUUGUCGCGUUGUUCGUGAAAACUCACAGCUUAACUGUGGGCGUGCGGGCGAUACGGGCAGACUGGAGUACUGCAGGGGAGACUGGAAUUCCUGGUGUAGCGGUGGAAUGCGCAGAUAUCAGGAGGAACACCGGUGGCGAAAGCCGGGUCUCUUGGGCCGUAACUGACGCUGAGGAGCGAAAGCAUGGGGAGCGAACAGGAUUAGAUACCCCGGUAG
This 437-nucleotide ribosomal RNA is filed under the name uncultured bacterium. RNAcentral's name for it is "bacterial SSU rRNA". It matches the Rfam family "Bacterial small subunit ribosomal RNA", at positions 346 to 793 of the family's 1533-position model. The record is from RNAcentral.